UCGAAAGACAUUCAUUCAAGAAAUUCUAACGUGAUUAUCGUAAAUAGCUGGAAUUGUAGAUAUUUACAAUGACAUAGAUCAUUUUUCUUCGACGAAAUUACGGCCUAAUGUCGAGACAAGAAUAAUAUGACGCUGAUCUGUGUUUUGACAAGAAUAUGAAUGAUCUUAAGAAAAGGCUUCACUGAAUCAAUUGAAAGACAGCGUCUUCAAUUGUCCUACUAAAUUCUUUACAGAUGACAUCUGGGUCUGGGGAGAUCAUGCAAAAAAAUAAGACAUCAUUUAUAACUUUCAACCUUCCGCUCACAGGACAAAUUCUCGAAGACGCUACGGAAAGAUGCUGAGCUUGAUCAUAAUUCUUCAGGCUCCCAAUUCAAGAAUACAAUUACUUAGCGUGGGUGCUUCUGCUCAGUCUUCGUUUCCUAUCUCCACAUACCAAUCACUCGUUUGUUACUAAUUCGAAUAAUUUACUGCUGUAAGGAGUCGUACCGCCAACUAAAUCUGAAUAACAAUUUGGCUGCUAGAAGUUAAAAAGUAGGCGCUGCAAUGAUUAUGUGGUAUGAUCAGAUUGUGUCGCAACGCUCAGCGGGGUUUUGGCUCAAUGGGACCGCUGCUAAUAAAACGUUUAACUAGCGAAUUUUGGAACACACCCGUUGACAAAAGUAUAAGGAGUCUCUUUCCGUGAGUUCCCCUCUUCCUCUCACUGCACUUCAACUAUGCCUUAUAGCAACCAAGAAGCUAGAAAAUGCCAACUAUUAAAAAGAUAACCUCUUUGGAAGCAAAUAAAACGGAGAUUAUCUUGGGAUCUAUUUCACAAAUUUACGGUUAAUUGGAAUGAACAGCGCCAAGUAGCACUGGUCAAACUGCAGAGAGUAUUAGAACUUGCUUUAUUCCGUAUAUCGUACUUUAGGUCGUCAGUUUUACCACUUCGGUACGCAAAUGAAAAUGAAAAGCUCAUUCACAACUUAGACACAAUUUCGCCGUUUACAAGUAGCUGAAAAGUCCAUCUAUCGAAUUAUGAAUGAUACUAUUUUAAAUAUAGUCGUUGCUGCACUCGUUUUCCAUGUUCUUUUUAUCCACACAUCCGAUGUUUUACUUACAGUUGAGCAUCUCAGGGCCAGCGACAAAUAUAAACAUAUUAUACUCAAAAUGAAGCUCGUUGAAAAGAGAAUAUUUCUUAACCUCUUUUACAGUGUUUUCAACACCUUUUCAUCUGUGUGCCAUGUCAGAUUAAGGAUGCUCAACUUUUCGAAUUAUUAUUACAAAUUUCAAAGAAAUUACUAGUCCUUUUUGUCUCCUAAUGUAUCCCUCAUUUCAUACCGUCGUUUUGGGGUUCCAACUACGUAUAGCUUUCAAGUGUGGUUUUACGGUAAGAACAACCCCCCAUCGGUUAGUGCGGAAUACUUUCCUAUUCUCAUCGAGAGCCGAGCCAUACACCUAAGGUGGACAGAAAGCUAAAAUUCCAACAGAAAAAUCUAACAUCUUUGCUCCCUUACAAGUAGGAACGCUAGCGUAUCAACCCAUCUCCAGAUUUGCCCAGCAUUUCUGUAGAACACCCAAUGCGAAUGAAGACUAAUGAAUAUUGUAAAGACAAAAAAUAGGAAAAGUUUAAUUGGUGAUGGUUCUCACCACCCCAAAACGGUCCCUUGCAUGCAUUGAGGUCAUGCACCUGCAGUACUUGUUUUUCUCGAAUGUUUUUUACCAUCUCUUUUUUCCUUAUCUGAGCUGCUGACGCAGACGGACAUUGUUUCAUAUUUCGAAAGCUGUGCGGGAAAACGGACCCUAACACGAAUGUGAAUGCGCUAAUCGGUAUUUCCACCACAUGAAACCUGCUACUUUUUCAGUCCUCUUCGUAUGCAUUUCCCAAAAUUCAUUCGUAGCCUUGUCAACUUAGACUCAGUUCCACGGCGUGCAGGACGGGGUAUUAUGAAUAAAAGGAUCCACGGGCGAGAUUUGUUCUAUGUUUUAGGUAUGGAGUUUUGUACCACAAAACUUUAGGAAUACCGGAUUGUGUGCCUACGCCAGCCCCAGAGUAUGUUCUCACAGCUGUAAUUCCUAGUGAUCUUUUCCUGGCUCCAAUAGGAACGCCGGUAGGCAAAUUAAACUUUCGUGGCAGGAAAAAAAAGGCUUUUUCUUUUUUGCCUUUCAGUUUCUCGGAAUGUGGCAUUACAUAAGCAUAAUCCUUUUUGGGUGUGCCUGGAAAGUUCAAAUUAAGGUUUUUUUCUUCUGUUUUCUUGACAAGAAAAUGUCGCCCAAAGAGUUUCGGCCGUUAUUUUUCCUAUCGAAGUGGGUCCUUUUUGUCUUUAGUCCUUCUCUGGGGCUAGCGAUCACUGCAAAAUUAGGCUUCACUGGUACGAGUUAACUUUUUUUCUUUUUUUUUGUCAUCCUUUUCUUUGGGGCUAAGAAUGGACUUCCCUUUUCUUUUUCUUUGUUGCAGCAGUGGCUUCAAAGAACUGCUGAUUGCUCAAGGCAAUCAGUCCGAGCGUUUAGAAGGUGAUUGUAGGCAGAAAUUAACUUUGCGGUAAAAGAAUGACAUUCUUUCUUAAAAGAAAAAUUAGCUUUUUUUUGUCAGGCAUUGCACAAACUUUUUUAUUUCUGCCUAUACUCUUAAACAGAUCAGUCAUUCAUGUUGUCUUUUUAACGGUCGUACUGGGACAUCGCAUGCCUUGGGAUUCCGUAAUUAGGUGCAACAAUACGGGCACAACUCAUUCUGCGCUAUCUUCACGGACAGAACUUCUAUUGCCUAUCGGUGGUGUGAUUAACAAUUGGAAGCGCAGAGCUUGGAAUGGAUUUUCAAUUCAAUGGAUUUGGAGGUAUUCGUUUGUUUACUAAUAUUUACUUUGAGGACAUUGUCCAACCCUAAAAGUGCCUGUUCCAGAAUAGAAUAACAUUAUGAUACGUUUUCUUGACCGCUGAGCAAUUUAAAGCAACUAUUAGGGUACGAUUGUUUCUAGAGAAAUGUGGGUCAUCUUUUUAGGUCCGUUCUCUUCUGAUGAGGUAACCUUUUCUUUACAAAAAUGUCAUAGAGUUACCAAUUGGGAUUCAAGGCAUCAUCGCAAUAUACUUCGUUCUUUUACGGAGAAAUUAAGCUCUUUCCACUUUGAAUUAACUGUUAGACUUGUCUUAUCUGAGGAAUGUCCGUGUUCAAAUUAAAUAAAAAUUUAGGGCAGUUUUAUUUACCUUAACAAAUAUGUUCAAGCAUGUAGGU
This 3205-nucleotide small RNA is filed under the name Saccharomyces cerevisiae YJM271. Its description in RNAcentral is "ICR1". The record is from RNAcentral. Lineage: Eukaryota; Fungi; Ascomycota; Saccharomycetes; Saccharomycetales; Saccharomycetaceae.